Molecule: unclassified non-coding RNA, 168 nt
Filed under: uncultured Leotiomycetes
Lineage: Eukaryota; Fungi; Ascomycota; Leotiomycetes
Description: sequence contains ITS1
Source: RNAcentral
CCGAGUUCAUGCCCUCACGGGUAGAUCUCCCACCCUAUGUUAUCAUUACCUUUGUUGCUUUGGCGGGCCGUCAGGCCUCGGUCAGGCUACCGGCUCCGGCUGGUAAGCGCCCGCCAGAGGACCCAAAACUCUGAAUAUUAGUGUCGUCUGAGUACUAUGUAAUAGUUA